UUGCCGGGGGACUGGCCCCAGCGGCUUGGCCCCCAGGCGUCUGUGGCAGUGCGUCCCCUCUCCGCGGGAUCGUCGCCAUGGUCCUGCGAUCCUAGGAGUCGGGCAAGGCCGAACCUGCCUGAAGAAACCUCAAGCGGAGAUUCAAGGAAGCACCACGUGAUCCCUAAGGAUCCCAAAGAUGCGUCGGGCAUGCAUGGGCGGUGUGAGGGUGCGUCUCCCUGACAGGUGUCCCCGCUGGGAUUUCGAGGAAUUAUCCGAUGAAAAGUAGAAGAGGUUGAAUGACUUUCAGUGGCCUUUUCUUCACAGGGCUCACCUGAAACUUCAUGUACCAUUGCACUUCCUGAGAAGCUGUCCCCAAUCCCAGGCUCCUAGCAAUGCUGUUCCAGUAAUCUCUCUUCUGUAAGACAGCCACUCCACCCACUGCAGUCUACAAGGAAAGCCUCCAUAGCUGUGGAUUUCUUUAGUACUAAGCUUCAAGAAACCAGCAACUUGCUUGAGAUGUGUCCCACUUCUCGUUCUGGGCCCAUGAAACUUGGAUGAAACUAUGCCUGCCAUCUGGUUCUUACUUCAGGGUCACGGACUUAAGAUUGCCCAUUCAUUCCUCUUUAAUAAGACAUCUUGGUGGACUAAUGGCUAACCAGUCCAUGAUCACACAUCACUGUGAUGGUGUCACACACUUGGUAUUUUUUAAUUUAGGGAAUGUUGUGAUCCAACAUGGCUGUCACGGACUUGAUGCAAUAAAGCAAACUGUAGCUGAGCUGAAAUUGAAUAGUCUUUCUCUACACUGAAACCAUAAAGUGUUAAUUACUCCAUGUUCGGUGGACAUAGUAAAAAACAUGACACAAACAUAUACACACAAUUUCCGUUAAUUAACUCCACAAUCUCAAGCUAUUGUAGUAUUUGUGGAUAUAAGGCUUUUAUUCUUGCCAAACUUCAAAACAGGAAAUCUUGUAUUUAUUAACUACAGGUAAGGCAUACAUGCAUACACACACACACACACACACACAAGUUCAUCUAGAACUAAGUUUUAGCCCAACUCCUAAAGAAUUUAUCAAAAUCCAAAAAAUAAAUUAAAAAUUAGGCUUUCUGGGUUAAAAGUUUGUUUUUUACUAAAUUUACUAAAAAAUCCACCAAUAAUGACACAGCAUUUAAACUUAGCCAUUUUUUCUUGAGAGAGAAUUUUCCACAUAUAAGCUAAUGUAGCUUAAUUCACAAAGCAAGGCACUGACAAUGCCUAAAUGAGUUCAUAUAACUCUAUAAACAAAUAGGUUUGGUCCUGGCCUCUUUAUUCAUUUUUAGUAACACUUGCAACUAUCUGCAUUCUAGUGAGAAUGUCCUCUAGAUCAACAAAAAUAAAAUAGAGCAGGCUUCAAGCACACUAAUUAGCAGCUCGUAAAACCUUACUCUACCAUACAGCCACAGAAAACAGCAAUGAUAAAAAUUAAGCAAUUAACACAAGAUUGACUAAGUUAUACUAAUUUUCCUUAGGGUUUGUAAAAUUUCAUGCUUGCAGUCAUAUGACUAACCCAAAUUAACAAAACAGCAUAAAACAUGUUUUUAACAAAACUCAGCAUAAAACAUGUUUAAGAUUAUAAACAAAGUUAUACCUUAACUAGGUCAUAAAAAGCUACAGCUAAUAUAAAAAUAAACUAUGAAAGUGAUUUAAUAUAUUCUGAAUACAUGAUAGCAAAGACCCAAACUGGGAAGAAAUACCCCAAUAUGCUUAGCCAUAAACUUAAUUAAAUUAACAAAGUUAUUCACUUUGUUAAUUCACCAGAGUAACUUUGUUAAUUCACCAGAGUACUACCAGCAACAGCUUAAAACACAAAGGACUUGGCAGUGCUUAUAUCCCUUUUUUUUUGUAAUCAAUAAACCCCAGUAAACCUCACUAUCUCUUGCUAAUUCAGCCUAUACACCGCCAUCUUCUGCAAAACCUUAAAAGGUACUAAACACAAGUAUUUACAUAAAACGUUAGGUCAUGGUGCAGCUUAUAAAACAGAAAUAAAUGGGCUAUAUUUUCUAAUUAAAGAACAUUCCAUUUACAACAAACUUAAUGAAAUUUAAGGCGAAAGGAAAAUUUCAUAGUAAAUUAAGAACAGAGAGCUUAAUUGAAUAGGGCCAUGAAGUACGCACACAACCUUUCAUCACCCUCCUCAAAUAUUUCAAUAUA
This 2170-nucleotide long non-coding RNA is filed under the name Homo sapiens (human). RNAcentral's name for it is "HSALNT0397835". The stretch from base 1194 to 1263 matches the Rfam family "tRNA". The record is from RNAcentral. Lineage: Eukaryota; Metazoa; Chordata; Mammalia; Primates; Hominidae.